RNAcentral lists this transfer RNA (72 nucleotides) under Bos taurus (domestic cattle). It matches the Rfam family "tRNA". Rfam says of the family: Transfer RNA (tRNA) molecules are approximately 80 nucleotides in length. Their secondary structure includes four short double-helical elements and three loops (D, anti-codon, and T loops). The record is from Rfam by way of RNAcentral. RNAcentral also lists the same sequence under 4 other names. Lineage: Eukaryota; Metazoa; Chordata; Mammalia; Artiodactyla; Bovidae.
UCCCUGGUGGCUCAGCUGGUAAAGAACCUGCCUGCAAAGCGGGAGACCUGGGUUCAAUCCCUGGGUUGGGAA